GAUGAACGCUGGCGGCGUGCCUAAUACAUGCAAGUCGAGCGAACAGAUGAGGAGCUUGCUCCUCUGACGUUAGCGGCGGACGGGUGAGUAACACGUGGAUAACCUACCUAUAAGACUGGGAUAACUUCGGGAAACCGGAGCUAAUACCGGAUAAUAUAUUGAACCGCAUGGUUCAAUAGUGAAAGACGGUUUUGCUGUCACUUAUAGAUGGAUCCGCGCCGCAUUAGCUAGUUGGUAAGGUAACGGCUUACCAAGGCAACGAUGCGUAGCCGACCUGAGAGGGGGAUCCGCCACACUGGAACUGAGACACGGUCCAGACUCCUACGGGAGGCAGCAGUAGGGAAUCUUCCGCAAUGGGCGAAAGCCUGACGGAGCAACGCCGCGUGAGUGAUGAAGGUCUUCGGGUCGUAAAACUCUGUUAUUGUGGAAGAACAAAUGUGUAAGUAACUAUGCACGUCUUGACGGUACCUAAUCAGAAAGCCACGGCUAACUACGUG
This 497-nucleotide ribosomal RNA is filed under the name uncultured bacterium. RNAcentral's name for it is "partial 16S ribosomal RNA". It matches the Rfam family "Bacterial small subunit ribosomal RNA", at positions 28 to 507 of the family's 1533-position model. The record is from RNAcentral.